UGCCCAGCAACUCCUAUCUCUACCUCCUCGCGGUACUGGCCGGGGUACGAGUAACAUAAGGGAAGAUCGCGUAGCCAACGAACUCUGGUCGUAUGCUGACGGGGAAGG
This 108-nucleotide ribozyme is filed under the name Aedes aegypti (yellow fever mosquito). RNAcentral describes it as "drz-agam-1 ribozyme". It matches the Rfam family "drz-agam-1 ribozyme". Lineage: Eukaryota; Metazoa; Arthropoda; Insecta; Diptera; Culicidae. The record is from Rfam by way of RNAcentral.